AGGUCACCUUCCCUCCUCACCUACAAAUAUAUCUGCAUUCCUCGCUGGUCACCUUCCCUCCUCACCUACAAAUAUAUCUGCAUUCCUCGCUGGUCACAUAAAGGAUUCGGCUAAAUUCAUGGUGAAAGCCACGAGGGACAUUGGGCUGAUGAAUUCUAGAAGCAUCCUCCAUGGCAGUAGCGGCUCGCAGAGGUCUCUGGAUCCGCCAAUGGAACGCAGAUGCCGAAUCCAAGAGGUACCUCCCCUUCACAGGUUCCAGCUCCUGUCUCCAAGCUUCGACAAAAGAGACCUGCUCCAGUCUACCACCUGCGGUGCAGCCUGUCUCUGCAGUCCUCUGUGACUCCUCAAUUACAAGCUGCAGAUUCACCUGCUUCCAGCACUCAGCUUCCAGCAGGGAUCAGCUCCUCUUAAAGUGCCGGUACCACUUGUCCAGCAUCCACUCCGUGUCUACAUCUGACUGGUUCCAACCAGUACCCACAUCAGUCACUUCAUCUACAGCAGUCCAGCUUUCCGUGGAACAUCAGCUGGUAUGAUCCUGGGCUAUUCCCACUACUACAGUCGGGCCUGGUAAGGACUUUCCAUCUAGAGGACAAUAAGAACUGUACCCAUACUACCAGAGCCCUGUGGCCAUUGCUAUCCUGUUGUUCCCAGGAACUGUGUUAUAUAACUGCUGAUUUUACGUUUUUCUUUUAUUACUGCUGUGUUGCAUGGAGUUUGUCAAAUAAACAUAAUUGACUUUUA
Molecule: long non-coding RNA, 741 nt
Organism: Pseudophryne corroboree (corroboree frog)
Lineage: Eukaryota; Metazoa; Chordata; Amphibia; Anura; Myobatrachidae
Exons: 4
Source: RefSeq, a predicted model, not a curated record